GCCGGUGAACCAUCGCGCCGACGGGAUGCGGAGCAGGGGAGGCUAGUUGCCAUUGCUGAUGCUGGAGUUGGCACUGCUGCAGCUCUGCUCAUAGGAUGGAGGUGCCUCGUAUGGGUAGCCCCACGUGCUGUAUUCUGGAGGCAAAAUGAGCGAGCUAGCAGUGGGCACGGGCACCACGUUUCCCUCGGCGUAGUAAGGGACGGUGGCUCCCGUCGAG
This 217-nucleotide long non-coding RNA is filed under the name Gallus gallus (chicken). The record is from RNAcentral. Lineage: Eukaryota; Metazoa; Chordata; Aves; Galliformes; Phasianidae.